GAUGAACGCUGGCGGCGUGCCUAAUACAUGCAAGUCGAGCGAACAGACGAGGAGCUUGCUCCUCUGACGUUAGCGGCGGACGGGUGAGUAACACGUGGAUAACCUACCUAUAAGACUGGGAUAACUUCGGGAAACCGGAGCUAAUACCGGAUAAUAUAUUGAACCGCAUGGUUCAAUAGUGAAAGACGGUUUUGCUGUCACUUAUAGAUGGAUCCGCGCCGCAUUAGCUAGUUGGUAAGGUAACGGCUUACCAAGGCAACGAUGCGUAGCCGACCUGAGAGGGUGAUCGGCCACACUGGAACUGAGACACGGUCCAGACUCCUACGGGAGGCAGCAGUGGGGAAUCUUCCGCAAUGGGCGAAAGCCUGACGGAGCAACGCCGCGUGAGUGAUGAAGGUCUUCGGAUCUUAAAACUCUGUUAUUAGGGAAGAACAAAUGUGUAAGUAACUAUGCACGUCUUGACGGUACCUAAUCAGAAAGCCACGGCUAACUACGUG
This 497-nucleotide ribosomal RNA is filed under the name uncultured bacterium. RNAcentral describes it as "partial 16S ribosomal RNA". It matches the Rfam family "Bacterial small subunit ribosomal RNA", at positions 28 to 507 of the family's 1533-position model. The record is from RNAcentral.